Musa acuminata AAA Group (dessert banana) is the source of this 705-nucleotide long non-coding RNA. RefSeq lists it as uncharacterized. Lineage: Eukaryota; Viridiplantae; Streptophyta; Magnoliopsida; Zingiberales; Musaceae. The transcript has 4 exons. The record is from RefSeq and is a predicted model, not a curated record.
UUUGUUUACAAUAUCAGCAGUGUCUUAUAUUUUAUUAUGUUUAAAUAAUUCACGAUCUACUUUUGAUAUUUGUGUUGUUUCAUUAUUCGUUUGCUUCAAAUUCAUUGAUGAAACUCAUUUACCAUUUUGAUAUUCGUAGUAUCAGUUUCUGAUGAAACAAACAACAUUAAUCUUUCCAGCAUGCUUAUAGAGAUGGUCGUCUAGAAGAAGUGGUACUACGCCAUCUAGAUACUGAAGAUGGAAGCACCGUUAUUGCCAAAGAUAUUAGGCUUUCCGACUUUUUCAAUGGAUUGCAUCUCUAGGAUUAUAUUGCUUGUCUCUAAUAAAAUGAAAUAUUUAUGGCCAAGCAAGGUCAUUUUACUGCCCCGGUCCCUCCCUCUGCGCUGAAAUAGAUGUCAAAAUGCUAUCAGAGAAAACUUUCAAGGUGCAGAUUUGUCUCUGGUUUUGAAGGAGGAUGAUACUAGUAUGAGGAACGUCAUUUUGCUUGGCCUAAAUGUCGGUUGGAAUUUGUGUUUGCACAAGUACGAACAUUAAGUACAAUACAGAAAAGGAAAAGACUUGUAUCAUCGUCAUCAUAUUUGUUUCUGACAGAAUAGUGCAUAUUGAAAAUUUGCCGUUCUGUAAUUACAUUCAACAUUGUUGGCAAUCGGAAUGGCUGUGUUUAGAAAAGGAAGGUCUGAAUGUUACAAAGUUCACAUUGGUCAA